This 508-nucleotide ribosomal RNA is filed under the name uncultured bacterium. RNAcentral's name for it is "bacterial SSU rRNA". It matches the Rfam family "Bacterial small subunit ribosomal RNA", at positions 43 to 507 of the family's 1533-position model. The record is from RNAcentral.
CGUGCCUAAUACAUGCAAGUCGAACGCAUUGUGGUUGAAAUGAUAUGAAGAACUUGUUCAGAUUUGAUUUCAACAUUGCAAUGAGUGGCGAACGGGUGAGUAACACGUGGGAAACCUACUCUUAGCAGGGGAUAACAUUUGGAAACAAAUGCUAAUACCGUAUAAUAAUUAAAACCGCAUGGUUUUAGUUUAAAAGAUGGUCUUGCUAUCACUAAGAGAUGGUCCCGCGGUGUAUUAGUUAGUUGGUGAGGUAAUGGCUCACCAAGACAAUGAUACAUAGCCGAGUUGAGAGACUGACCGGCCACAAUGGGACUGAGACACGGCCCAUACUCCUACGGGAGGCAGCAGUAGGGAAUCUUCCACAAUGGACGAAAGUCUGAUGGAGCAACGCCGCGUGUGUGAUGAAGGGUUUCGGCUCGUAAAACACUGUUGUAAGAGAAGAAUGACAUUGAGAGUAACUGUUCAAUGUGUGACGGUAUCUUACCAGAAAGGAACGGCUAAAUACGUG